CGGAGUUGCUGGGUCAAAGAAAACGUGCAGUGGGAACUUUGAGAGCCAUUGCCGAAUGAUCUGUUCAUCUCGAUUCAUUUCUCUGUUCAUUUCAUUCAUUCUUUCAUCUGUUGAAUGAAUAAUGGGACUCUAGUCAACUGCCAGGCACAGCGGCAAGCUGGAGUGCCUGGAGUAAUUUUCUGGACAGAGCACCUGCCCUCUGGGAGCAGAUAUUCUAGUGGGGUAGAUGACGUCAGGUAAAAGAUGCUUGGAAGAAAAGGAAAUCAGGAUAAGGGGACUGAGAGUGACAGAGGUCACGGAGUGACAGGUGGUCAGAGAAGGCUGCUCUGAGGAGGUGACAUUUGAGAAGAGGCAUGAAAGAAGGUAGACGGUGACAGAAUCGAUGGAACUGUAGGACAUCCUGCUGGUGUCGGAGAAUUGCUUGGUGUCGGGGAAGGCGUCACAAGUCAGACUGGGUGCAGAACAGUCAGCAACCAGGGUUUCUUGGUACUUUGCUGCAAGCCUGUUUGCUGUAGACAUCUUUGCCACGAGUAUUUUCGCUGCAUAACCACUUGGCCUUAUGGCAAUUUUGCUGUAAAAGAUAAAAAUCACGAAAAAUAAAAGAGGGCCAUUCAUUCCAAAGGACACAACAAAACGUGAAAAAGAUGAAUAACAAAAUUAAAAGGACUUUAUUGUGAAAUACAAAAGAUUUGAAUAGGUUUAAAAUAUGUGUCUGGAGAUUCACGGCAGUCCUGCCCAAAGAACCAGUUUUAUUUUGUGUGUGUGGAUUGCACCUCACUAAGCACCUUCCUUUGUUCCGUGGGACAUGUGGGUUCAACUCUGCCCCCUUGAAGAAGAGGCCCUCGGCCCUCUUCUCCUCCUCCAAUAUAGUGUGAUUCAAAAUAAGAAACAACUCUUGGGGCAAAUCAUCGACACGGUCAGCUCGAUGAAGCCAUCAGUAAGACACUGACUGGAAGAAAUGCCAAGUAUUUUAGACCGCUACCGUCACCACCAUGUCUGCAGGUCACUGUGGAGACCACUCUGAGAGCUAGCCAAGAUUUAUAGCAUAUAAAAAUGGGAGGAACUGUGAGAACUUCGUCAAUGGAGAAGUGAAACCAAACUGGAAAAAAAAGACAAAACUGUCAACCAGUUAUGUUCUUUUCUUUUAUGGCGGUUGAUUCGUCAACGGAGAAAUAAAAGGAAA
Molecule: long non-coding RNA, 1183 nt
Filed under: Equus asinus (donkey)
Lineage: Eukaryota; Metazoa; Chordata; Mammalia; Perissodactyla; Equidae
Description: lncRNA (ENSEASG00005024009.1)
Source: RNAcentral